UUCCCUAGUAGCGGCGAGCGAAGCGGGAAGAGCUCAAAUUUAUAAUCUGGCACCUUCGGUGUCCGAGUUGUAAUCUCUAGAAGUGUUUUCCGCGUUGGACCGCACACAAGUCUGUUGGAAUACAGCGGCAUAGUGGUGAAACCCCCGUAUAUGGUGCGGACGCCCAGCGCUUUGUGAUACACUUUCAAUGAGUCGAGUUGUUUGGGAAUGCAGCUCAAAUUGGGUGGUAAAUUCCAUCUAAAGCUAAAUAUUGGCGAGAGACCGAUAGCGAACAAGUACCGUGAGGGAAAGAUGAAAAGCACUUUGGAAAGAGAGUUAACAGUACGUGAAAUUGUUGGAAGGGAAACGCUUGAAGUCAGACUUGCUUGCCGGAGCUUGCUUCGGUUUGCAGGCCAGCAUCAGUUUUCCGGGGUGGAUAAUAACGGUUUGAAGGUAGCAGUCUCGGCUGUGUUAUAGCUUUCCGUUGGAUACAUCCUGGGGGACUGAGGAACGCAGCGUGCUUUUUGCGAAAGACUCGUCUUUUUCACGCUUAGGAUGCUGGUGGAAUGGCUUUAAACGACCCGUCUUGAAACACGGACCAC
RNAcentral lists this ribosomal RNA (581 nucleotides) under Ustilentyloma graminis. RNAcentral describes it as "eukaryotic LSU rRNA". It matches the Rfam family "Eukaryotic large subunit ribosomal RNA", at positions 76 to 669 of the family's 3401-position model. The record is from RNAcentral. Lineage: Eukaryota; Fungi; Basidiomycota; Microbotryomycetes; Microbotryales; Ustilentylomataceae.